UGAAAUUAUAAAAAUAAUCAAUAUUCAACUUACAGACUGAUCAACUAUAUUGCAACUGGUCCGACUGAAAGGAGAAGAAAGGCUAGCUGGCAUCGAUUAUCUAAACAGACACAUUGAUCUCUAUUAAAUUAUCUGGCAAAAUUAAUUAAUUAGUUUAUUCAAAGAAGCAAGAAUAAUUUCCUAAAAUUUUGUCAAAAUUUUGACAGAGUCUCUCCUAUAAUUAGACCAAACCCUCCUGCAAGAAAAUUCAACCAAAAGUAACAACACAGGGCCUUAGGCCCACAACAGUAAUUAUAAUGCUCAUCCGGGGCUUACAAUAAUUCUAAUCUAGAUCAAAUCCUCUAAACUCUAGUUCGGGCCCCUAGCUUCUCUACAGUUCAAAUGAUUAUUUUCAGCACUUUAAAAAUUUAUAAAAAUAUUCUUAGAUGCCCUUUACAUCAUUUUUGUAUUAAUUAAAUUUAUUUU
This 465-nucleotide unclassified non-coding RNA is filed under the name Hevea brasiliensis (rubber tree). The record is from RNAcentral. Lineage: Eukaryota; Viridiplantae; Streptophyta; Magnoliopsida; Malpighiales; Euphorbiaceae.